GACGAACGCUGGCGGCGUGCUUAACACAUGCAAGUCGAACGGGAACCUUUAUUUCGGUAAAGGUGAGAGUGGCAAACGGGUGAGUAACACGUAGGCAACCUGCCGACAGGAUGGGGACAACAUUCCGAAAGGAAUGCUAAUACCGAAUGAAGUCACCGGAGGGCAUCCUCUGGUGAUGAAAGAUGGCCUCUGAAUAUGCUAUCACCUGUCGAUGGGCCUGCGUCUGAUUAGCCAGUUGGCGGGGUAACGGCCCACCAAAGCGACGAUCAGUAGCCGGUCUGAGAGGAUGAACGGCCACAUUGGGACUGAGACACGGCCCAGACUCCUACGGGAGGCAGCAGUGGGGAAUCUUCCACAAUGGGCGAAAGCCUGAUGGAGCAACGCCGCGUGAGUGAAGAAGGUCUUCGGAUCGUAAAGCUCUGUUGCACGGGACGAAAACCGAGCUUGAAAAUAUUGAGCUUGGGGACGUACCGAGCGAGGAGCCAC
RNAcentral lists this ribosomal RNA (486 nucleotides) under Selenomonas sputigena. RNAcentral describes it as "bacterial SSU rRNA". It matches the Rfam family "Bacterial small subunit ribosomal RNA", at positions 28 to 494 of the family's 1533-position model. The record is from RNAcentral. Lineage: Bacteria; Bacillati; Bacillota; Negativicutes; Selenomonadales; Selenomonadaceae.